RNAcentral lists this ribosomal RNA (578 nucleotides) under uncultured bacterium. RNAcentral's name for it is "partial 16S ribosomal RNA". It matches the Rfam family "Bacterial small subunit ribosomal RNA", at positions 355 to 926 of the family's 1533-position model. The record is from RNAcentral.
UGGGGAAUUUUGGACAAUGGGCGAAAGCCUGAUCCAGCAAUGCCGCGUGUGUGAAGAAGGCCUUCGGGUUGUAAAGCACUUUUGUCCGGAAAGAAAUCCUUGGCUCUAAUACAGUCGGGGGAUGACGGUACCGGAAGAAUAAGCACCGGCUAACUACGUGCCAGCAGCCGCGGUAAUACGUAGGGUGCAAGCGUUAAUCGGAAUUACUGGGCGUAAAGCGUGCGCAGGCGGUUUGCUAAGACCGAUGUGAAAUCCCCGGGCUCAACCUGGGAACUGCAUUGGCGACUGGCAGGCUAGAGUAUGGCAGAGGGGGGUAGAAUUCCACGUGUAGCAGUGAAAUGCGUAGAGAUGUGGAGGAAUACCGAUGGCGAAGGCAGCCCCCUGGGCCAAUACUGACGCUCAUGCACGAAAGCGUGGGGAGCAAACAGGAUUAGAUACCCUGGUAGUCCACGCCCUAAACGAUGUCAACUAGUUGUUGGGGAUUCAUUUCCUUAGUAACGUAGCUAACGCGUGAAGUUGACCGCCUGGGGAGUACGGUCGCAAGAUUAAAACUUAAAUGAAUUGACGGGGUCAAGCUG